AAGCUUCUACCUCAAAGAUCGAAAAGCUUAAAACAAAACGAGAUCCCUUUGAGUUCAAAGGUAACUCUGUUCAGUUGAAACUAGACGUCUCAACAGCAAGGUUAAUUUUCUCCCCAAGCAUGAGUUGCACAUAAGUUCUUGAAUCUAACAGAAGCUAGAAACCGACAUCUGUAAAGUAACACAACUAUGUAGUACUUUUACUUUUCAUUUUACCUGCCUCUUCAAAUCAUUUCCUCAAUAUGCAGUGGAUAAUUAUAAAUUCCCUUCCCGAGAUAUUUAUGCAAUAACAUUGAUAGUAUUUUGUGUUUAUAUGUUAUAAAUGAGCUCGAGGAAAGAGUUUGGUGCUUGUAAGUAUUCAAUAUUUUGUGCAGAGGCCACCAAACAACUUAAUGGCCAUAGAUCAUACAAGAAGAUCAU
Molecule: long non-coding RNA, 417 nt
Filed under: Brassica rapa (field mustard)
Lineage: Eukaryota; Viridiplantae; Streptophyta; Magnoliopsida; Brassicales; Brassicaceae
Description: long non-coding RNA (BRAP_LNC004747)
Source: RNAcentral